RNAcentral lists this ribosomal RNA (539 nucleotides) under uncultured Micromonospora sp. RNAcentral's name for it is "bacterial SSU rRNA". It matches the Rfam family "Bacterial small subunit ribosomal RNA", at positions 61 to 616 of the family's 1533-position model. The record is from RNAcentral. Lineage: Bacteria; Bacillati; Actinomycetota; Actinomycetes; Micromonosporales; Micromonosporaceae.
GUCGAGCGGAAGGCCCUUCGGGGUACUCGAGCGGCGAACGGGUGAGUAACACGUGAGCAACCUGCCCUAGGCUUUGGGAUAACCCCGGGAAACCGGGGCUAAUACCGAAUAUGACCUCCGAUCGCAUGGUUGGUGGUGGAAAGUUUUUCGGCCUGGGAUGGGCUCGCGGCCUAUCAGCUUGUUGGUGGGGUGAUGGCCUACCAAGGCGACGACGGGUAGCCGGCCUGAGAGGGCGACCGGCCACACUGGGACUGAGACACGGCCCAGACUCCUACGGGAGGCAGCAGUGGGGAAUAUUGCACAAUGGGCGGAAGCCUGAUGCAGCGACGCCGCGUGAGGGAUGACGGCCUUCGGGUUGUAAACCUCUUUCAGCAGGGACGAAGCGAAAGUGACGGUACCUGCAGAAGAAGCGCCGGCCAACUACGUGCCAGCAGCCGCGGUAAGACGUAAGGGCGCGAGCGUUGUCCGGGAUUUAUUGGGCGUAAAGAGCUCGUAAGGCGGCUUGUCGCGUCGACUGUGAAAACCCGCAGCUCAACUGC